This 443-nucleotide ribosomal RNA is filed under the name uncultured Desulfobulbus sp. RNAcentral describes it as "bacterial SSU rRNA". It matches the Rfam family "Bacterial small subunit ribosomal RNA", at positions 941 to 1382 of the family's 1533-position model. The record is from RNAcentral. Lineage: Bacteria; Pseudomonadati; Thermodesulfobacteriota; Desulfobulbia; Desulfobulbales; Desulfobulbaceae.
GUGGUUAAUUCGAUGCAACGCGAGAACUUACCUGGUCUUGACAUCCCGGAGACCCUUAGGAAACUAGGGGUGCUUCCAUCUGGAAGAAUCUGGAGACAGGUGCUGCAUGGCUGUCGUCAGCUCGUGUCGUGAGAUGUUGGGUUAAGUCCCGCAACGAGCGCAACCCUUGCCUUUAGUUGCCAGCAGUUCGGCUGGGCACUCUAAAGGGACUGCCGGUGUUAAACCGGAGGAAGGUGGGGAUGACGUCAAGUCCUCAUGGCCUUUAUGACCAGGGCUACACACGUACUACAAUGGCCGAUACAAAGGGCAGCGACACUGCGAGGUGAAGCCAAUCCCGUAAAAUCGGUCUCAGUCCGGAUUGGAGUCUGCAACUCGACUCCAUGAAGUUGGAAUCGCUAGUAAUCGUGGAUCAGCAUGCCACGGUGAAUACGUUCCCGGGCCUU